AAUCCGUCUACUCUAAUGCAGUAUAAUGUAUUUACAUAAUUAUAUUGGCUCGCUUGUAGACAAGAGAAAAACAAGAUUUUAUUAUCCUAGCAAUAAUCUUUUACCUUUCAUGGCUGGAUUAUUGCUCGAGAAACGUAAAAUCACAAAA
Small nucleolar RNA from Calliphora vicina (urban bluebottle blowfly), 148 nucleotides. RefSeq annotates it as small nucleolar RNA psi28S-1192. Lineage: Eukaryota; Metazoa; Arthropoda; Insecta; Diptera; Calliphoridae. The transcript has a single exon. The record is from RefSeq and is a predicted model, not a curated record.